Molecule: transfer RNA, 73 nt
Filed under: Lepisosteus oculatus (spotted gar)
Lineage: Eukaryota; Metazoa; Chordata; Actinopteri; Semionotiformes; Lepisosteidae
Rfam family: tRNA
About the family: Transfer RNA (tRNA) molecules are approximately 80 nucleotides in length. Their secondary structure includes four short double-helical elements and three loops (D, anti-codon, and T loops).
Source: Rfam by way of RNAcentral
CCCUGACUAGCUCCAUUGGUAGUGCAUGAGACUCACAAUCUCAGGGUAGUGGGUUCAUGUCCCAAGUCAGGCG